This 2758-nucleotide ribosomal RNA is filed under the name Enterobacter cloacae. Its description in RNAcentral is "bacterial LSU rRNA". It matches the Rfam family "Bacterial large subunit ribosomal RNA". RNAcentral also lists the same sequence under 1 other name. Lineage: Bacteria; Pseudomonadati; Pseudomonadota; Gammaproteobacteria; Enterobacterales; Enterobacteriaceae. The record is from RNAcentral.
CACUAUCGUUAACUGAAUACAUAGGUUAACGAGGCGAACCGGGGGAACUGAAACAUCUAAGUACCCCGAGGAAAAGAAAUCAACCGAGAUUCCCCCAGUAGCGGCGAGCGAACGGGGAGCAGCCCAGAGUCUGAAUCAGCUUGUGUGUUAGUGGAACGGUCUGGAAAGUCCGACGGUACAGGGUGAUAGUCCCGUACACCAAAAUGCACAGGCUGUGAACUCGAAGAGUAGGGCGGGACACGUGGUAUCCUGUCUGAAUAUGGGGGGACCAUCCUCCAAGGCUAAAUACUCCUGACUGACCGAUAGUGAACCAGUACCGUGAGGGAAAGGCGAAAAGAACCCCGGCGAGGGGAGUGAAAAAGAACCUGAAACCGUGUACGUACAAGCAGUGGGAGCACCUUCGGGUGUGACUGCGUACCUUUUGUAUAAUGGGUCAGCGACUUAUAUUCUGUAGCAAGGUUAACCGUAUAGGGGAGCCGCAGGGAAACCGAGUCUUAACUGGGCGUUAAGUUGCAGGGUAUAGACCCGAAACCCGGUGAUCUAGCCAUGGGCAGGUUGAAGGUUGGGUAACACUAACUGGAGGACCGAACCGACUAAUGUUGAAAAAUUAGCGGAUGACUUGUGGCUGGGGGUGAAAGGCCAAUCAAACCGGGAGAUAGCUGGUUCUCCCCGAAAGCUAUUUAGGUAGCGCCUCGUGAAUUCAUCUUCGGGGGUAGAGCACUGUUUCGGCUAGGGGGUCAUCCCGACUUACCAACCCGAUGCAAACUACGAAUACCGAAGAAUGUUAUCACGGGAGACACACGGCGGGUGCUAACGUCCGUCGUGAAGAGGGAAACAACCCAGACCGCCAGCUAAGGUCCCAAAGUCAUGGUUAAGUGGGAAACGAUGUGGGAAGGCACAGACAGCCAGGAUGUUGGCUUAGAAGCAGCCAUCAUUUAAAGAAAGCGUAAUAGCUCACUGGUCGAGUCGGCCUGCGCGGAAGAUGUAACGGGGCUAAACCAUGCACCGAAGCUGCGGCAGCGACACUAUGUGUUGUUGGGUAGGGGAGCGUUCUGUAAGCCUGCGAAGGUGUGCUGUGAGGCAUGCUGGAGGUAUCAGAAGUGCGAAUGCUGACAUAAGUAACGAUAAAGCGGGUGAAAAGCCCGCUCGCCGGAAGACCAAGGGUUCCUGUCCAACGUUAAUCGGGGCAGGGUGAGUCGACCCCUAAGGCGAGGCCGAAAGGCGUAGUCGAUGGGAAACAGGUUAAUAUUCCUGUACUUGGUGUUACUGCGAAGGGGGGACGGAGAAGGCUAUGUUAGCCGGGCGACGGUUGUCCCGGUUUAAGCAUGUAGGCUGGUUGUCCAGGCAAAUCCGGAUAAUCAAGGCUGAGGUGUGAUGACGAGGCACUACGGUGCUGAAGUAACAAAUGCCCUGCUUCCAGGAAAAGCCUCUAAGCAUCAGGUAACAUCAAAUCGUACCCCAAACCGACACAGGUGGUCAGGUAGAGAAUACCAAGGCGCUUGAGAGAACUCGGGUGAAGGAACUAGGCAAAAUGGUGCCGUAACUUCGGGAGAAGGCACGCUGGUGUGUAGGUGAAGUCCCUGCGGAUGGAGCUGAGACCAGUCGAAGAUACCAGCUGGCUGCAACUGUUUAUUAAAAACACAGCACUGUGCAAACACGAAAGUGGACGUAUACGGUGUGACGCCUGCCCGGUGCCGGAAGGUUAAUUGAUGGGGUUAUCCGUAAGGAGAAGCUCUUGAUCGAAGCCCCGGUAAACGGCGGCCGUAACUAUAACGGUCCUAAGGUAGCGAAAUUCCUUGUCGGGUAAGUUCCGACCUGCACGAAUGGCGUAAUGAUGGCCAGGCUGUCUCCACCCGAGACUCAGUGAAAUUGAACUCGCUGUGAAGAUGCAGUGUACCCGCGGCAAGACGGAAAGACCCCGUGAACCUUUACUAUAGCUUGACACUGAACAUUGAGCCUUGAUGUGUAGGAUAGGUGGGAGGCUUUGAAGCGUGGACGCCAGUCUGCGUGGAGCCAACCUUGAAAUACCACCCUUUAAUGUUUGAUGUUCUAACGUUGGCCCCUUACCGGGGUUGCGGACAGUGUCUGGUGGGUAGUUUGACUGGGGCGGUCUCCUCCCAAAGCGUAACGGAGGAGCACGAAGGUUAGCUAAUCCUGGUCGGACAUCAGGAGGUUAGUGCAAUGGCAUAAGCUAGCUUGACUGCGAGCGUGACGGCGCGAGCAGGUGCGAAAGCAGGUCAUAGUGAUCCGGUGGUUCUGAAUGGAAGGGCCAUCGCUCAACGGAUAAAAGGUACUCCGGGGAUAACAGGCUGAUACCGCCCAAGAGUUCAUAUCGACGGCGGUGUUUGGCACCUCGAUGUCGGCUCAUCACAUCCUGGGGCUGAAGUAGGUCCCAAGGGUAUGGCUGUUCGCCAUUUAAAGUGGUACGCGAGCUGGGUUUAGAACGUCGUGAGACAGUUCGGUCCCUAUCUGCCGUGGGCGCUGGAGAAUUGAGGGGGGCUGCUCCUAGUACGAGAGGACCGGAGUGGACGCAUCACUGGUGUUCGGGUUGUCAUGCCAAUGGCACUGCCCGGUAGCUAAAUGCGGAAGAGAUAAGUGCUGAAAGCAUCUAAGCACGAAACUUGCCCCGAGAUGAGUUCUCCCUGAGACUUUAAGUCUCCUGAAGGAACGUUAAAGACGAUGACGUUGAUAGGCCGGGUGUGUAAGCGCAGCGAUGCGUUGAGCUAACCGGUACUAAUGAACCGUGAGGCUUAACCUU